RNAcentral lists this ribosomal RNA (468 nucleotides) under uncultured bacterium. RNAcentral describes it as "partial 16S ribosomal RNA". It matches the Rfam family "Bacterial small subunit ribosomal RNA", at positions 28 to 507 of the family's 1533-position model. The record is from RNAcentral.
GACGAACGCUGGCGGCGUGCUUAACACAUGCAAGUCGAACGGAAAGGCCCUGCUUUUGUGGGGUGCUCGAGUGGCGAACGGGUGAGUAACACGUGAGUAACCUGCCCUUGACUUUGGGAUAACUUCAGGAAACUGGGGCUAAUACAGGAUAGGAGCUCCUGCUGCAUGGUGGGGGUUGGAAAGUUUCGGCGGUUGGGGAUGGACGCGCGGCUUAUCAGCUUGUUGGUGGGGUAGUGGCUUACCAAGGCUUUGACGGGUAGCCGGCCUGAGAGGGUGACCGGCCACAGUGGGACUGAGAUACGGCCCAGACUCCUACGGGAGGCAGCAGUGGGGAAUAGUGCACAAUGGGCGGAAGCCUGAUGCAGCAACGCCGCGUGCGGGAUGACGGCCUUCGGGUUGUAAACCGCUUUCGCCUGUGACGAAGCGUGAGUGACGGUAAUGGGUAAAGAAGCACCGGCUAACUACGUG